Molecule: unclassified non-coding RNA, 254 nt
Filed under: soil metagenome
Description: partial contains small subunit ribosomal RNA, internal transcribed spacer 1, and 5.8S ribosomal RNA
Source: RNAcentral
UUUCCGUAGGUGAACCUGCGGAAGGAUCAUUACAAUUCAGUAGCUUGCUACUGUCAGGAGGUGCUGUCAGUCCGCAUAGUUUCAUUACUGAUGAGCGGCAGGCCCUCUGUCUGUACCCUUGUCUUUUGCGCACCCAUGUUUCCUCGGCGGGCAUGCCCGCCGGUUGGACAAAACUAUAACCUUUUUUUAAUUUUCAAUCAGCGUCUGAAAAAACUUAAUAAUUACAACUUUCAACAACGGAUCUCUUGGUUCUG